GGGGAUGAGCUGUGGAUAGGGGUGAAAGGCCAAUCAAACUCUGUGAUAGCUGGUUCUCCCCGAAAUGCAUUUAGGUGCAGCGUUACGUGUUUCUUGCCGGAGGUAGAGCUACUGGAUGGCCGAUGGGCCUUCACGGGUUACUGACGUCAGCUAAACUCCGAAUGCCGGUAAGUGAGAGCGUAGCAGUGAGACAGUGGGGGAUAAGCUUCAUUGUCGAGAGGGAAACAGCCCAGACCAUCAACUAAGGCCCCUAAGCGUGUGCUAAGUGGGAAAGGAUGUGGAGUUGCUGAGACAACCAGGAGGUUGGCUUAGAAGCAGCCAUCCUUGAAAGAGUGCGUAAUAGCUCACUGGUCAAGUGAUUCUGCGCCGAUAAUGUAGCGGGGCUCAAGUACACCGCCGAAGUUGUGGCAAUGAUCUUUUUGGAUUGUUGGGUAGGGGAGCGUCGUGUAGCCGGUGAAGCUGCGGUGUAAACCAGUGGUGGAGGCUAUGCGAGUGAGAAUGCAGGCAUGAGUAGCGAAAGAUGAGUGAGAAACUCAUCCGCCGGAUGAUCAAGGGUUCCAGGGUCAAGUUAAUCUGCCCUGGGUUAGUCGGGGCCUAAGGCGAGGCCGACAGGCGUAGUCGAUGGAUAACGGGUUGAUAUUCCCGUACCGGUGAAAAACCGCCCAUACUGAUAUUGUGAUGCUAACCAUGCGAAGCAUGAUGUGCAGGCUUUUGUUUGUGUGUUGUGUGGGUUGUGGGACCCGAUCUUUGGAGGUAAACGUGUUAACAGGUGUGACGCAGGAAGGUAGCCAAGCCACGCGAUGGUUGUCGUGGUCUAAGCGUGUAGGGUUGUCGGUUGUUAAAUGCGCCGGCUGUGUGCCUGAGACGUGAUGGGACCCCGUUUUUGGGGGAUUUGGUGAUCCUAUGCUGCCGAGAAAAGCAUCGGCGUGAGGUUUUAGCCGCCCGUACCCUAAACCGACACAGGUGAUCAGGUAGAGAAUACUAAGGCGAUCGAGAGAAUCAUGGUUAAGGAACUCGGCAAAAUGCCCCCGUAACUUCGGGAGAAGGGGGGCCCUGAGCGUGAUCUGCCCGUGCGGUGGGGAGCGUGUAGGGGUCGCAGAGACCAGGGGGAAGCGACUGUUUAUCAAAAACACAGGUCCGUGCGAAGUCGUAAGACGAUGUAUACGGACUGACUCCUGCCCGGUGCUGGAAGGUUAAGAGGAUUGGUUAGCCCUUUUUGGGCGAAGCUGAGAAUUUAAGCCCCAGUAAACGGCGGUGGUAACUAUAACCAUCCUAAGGUAGCGAAAUUCCUUGUCGGGUAAGUUCCGACCUGCACGAAUGG
RNAcentral lists this ribosomal RNA (1321 nucleotides) under human oral metagenome. RNAcentral describes it as "bacterial LSU rRNA". It matches the Rfam family "Bacterial large subunit ribosomal RNA", at positions 800 to 1999 of the family's 2925-position model. The record is from RNAcentral.